AACGUAGGACACAAGCGUUAUCCGGAGUUACUGGGCGUAAAGGGCGUUUAGGCGGGUGAUUAAGUUCGCUAUGAAGGCGCCAGGCUAAACCUGGCGAGGCUGGCGGAUACUGGUCAUCUGGAGUGAGGGAGAGGGUAGUGGAAUUCCCGGUGUAGCGGUGAAAUGCGUAGAUAUCGGGAGGAACAUCAGUGGCGAAGGCGGCUACCUGGCCCAACACUGACACUCAGGUGCGACAGCGUGGGGAGCAAACAGG
Molecule: ribosomal RNA, 253 nt
Filed under: uncultured bacterium
Lineage: Bacteria
Description: partial 16S ribosomal RNA
Rfam family: Bacterial small subunit ribosomal RNA
Source: RNAcentral